Molecule: long non-coding RNA, 2995 nt
Organism: Antechinus flavipes (yellow-footed antechinus)
Lineage: Eukaryota; Metazoa; Chordata; Mammalia; Dasyuromorphia; Dasyuridae
Exons: 4
Source: RefSeq, a predicted model, not a curated record
UUAUGCUCUUUGGUCCUAAGAUUCUUUUUCUGUAAAAUGGACUUAAUAGAUAAGAGUUCAAAUGAUAUAAACAGCUUUCUUCUUUUUUUUUUCUGAAGCAAUUGGGGUUGUUUAGUUUCUUAGGUCACAUUUGAACUCAGGUCCUCCUGAUUUUAAGGUUGGUACUCUAUCCACUGCACUAUCUAGCUGUCUCAACAGCUUUCUAAAGAAGAAUUACCAAUUGUAAAGGAAAACAUGUUCCAAAUCACUAAUAUUAACAGAAAUGAAAACAAAUGAAGUUUUUGAACAAAUGUUCAACAUAUAUUGAAAUAGUCAUAACAGCACUCUGUAGUAGCAGACAACUAGAAACAAAGUAGGUAUCCAUUUGUUCAGACACAAGUAAAGAAAAUUAUGAUACAUGAAAGUAAUAGGAUGAUAUUAGUAAAAAAAAUGAGGAAUAUAAAGAAUUGGGAGAAAAGGAGGAAGAUUUGUAUAUAGUUAUACAGAAUAAAAAAAAAAAAAAAAGCAAAACCAAGAGGAUAAUAUAUGCACUUGGCUAAACUAACACCAUACAAAUGAAAACAUCACUCAAAGUCCAACUCUGAAUCAUGGAAAGAACAAUGAAGGUCCCAAAUUGCAGAUUAUGAAGUGUACUUCUCUCUCAGAAAAGAGUUUCCUCAUCUGUAAAAUGAGCUGGAGAAGGAAAUGGAAAACCACUCCAGUGUAUUUGGCAAGAAAACCCCAAAUGGGGUCAGUCACGAAGAAUCAGAUAUUGCUAAAAAAAGACUGAACAACAAUGGCAAGUUUCCAAGGUGACUCUGGAAGCUUAGAUCAGUUUUCCUGUUCUCCUGAUCAUCUAAGAGAAUGAAGAUGAGUUUAAAAAAAAAAAAAAAAAAAAAAAAAAGAUCAAUUAAUGAUAUCCAGCAAACACCACAGCAAUCUGGUAUAGUUAAAAGAGAAAGGAACCAUGGAAGGCAAGGAAGAGCUGAAAAUAAUAGUCAGUCUUAUGAAGUCAUAAAGUUAAAUACUUUGGUUUUGAGGAAUACCAGAGGAUUUUCUUGAAGACAGGAAUUAUUUUGUAUUUCUCUGACAAAAUAAUGUCGUUUUGUUAUUUCUAAAUUUCUACCACAAGGCAAUUUUAAUGAUUUUUACUUAACAUAUAAUUCCAAUAAAUAACAUUUUAUUAGUAAAGUGUCUUAUAUAACAGUUUAAUCAAAAAUCUGAAUCAUGGAUUAUUCUAUCUUUUAUUGAUACAAUUUAGAAUAAAAUUUCAGAAUUAGGAGGAUACUCAAAGUUCAUUUAAUCAAAAUUGUAACUUAAAUAGGAAUUCCCUAUAAAAUACCUCCAUCAAAUUGUCAUCCAGCUUCACAAAAGUAAAAAUGGAAGGGUUAUUUAAUUUUGCAGUCAGGGUGUUUAAUAAAUAUUUGUUGGAUGAAUAAACAAGCAAUUUGAUCACUGUUGUAUAUAGUAAAAUGCAAAACAAGAAUAUGUAAUGAUGGCAUUCAUUAGUUAUUCAGUCUUACAAAAGCAUAUGAAUGAGAAACAGGUUCUAUAAGGACCUGUAGAAAGAGCACAAAAGGAACCUAUUUCUUCUGAGAAUAUGACAAAUUUUUAAUCAGGCAAUGAGGAGAAAGUGGAAAACAAGCAUAUUCCUUCACUGCUUGCAAAGAUCAAAGUUAAAUUUUUAGUCAAUUCUUGAUGAAAACACUGAUCAUAGAAUUAGUCAGUUUAAGACAAGGUAAUAGAGGUCCUAUAAUAAAUUGAUUUUGCUAUAAUAUCAAAAGCAGCCAGCUUUGGGUCACAAAUAUAAUAUUUCUUCUCUAUGCUUUUGACUCCUAGAAUUAUCUAUAAAAAUUCAAAAAUCUUUAAAUAAUAAAUUUUAGAUGCAACUUUUUGGCUAACAAUAGAAUAAAGCAGAAUGAGAUAUAUAAAAUUUCCUUGGGGUAUAUUAGAAAUAUAUUUUGUCUACAUUAAAUUGUUUUGUAUUUUUUCUGUAUAUCUGUAUAUGUAUCUAUACAUAUGAAUAGCAUAGUCCACACAAACCCACAUGAUAUAUAUGUAUACAUACACACAAAGAAAGAGGUCAAAACCACAAAAAGUGAUAGUAGAUGCUAUGUCAUUUGAUGAAAGUGAUAAAUAAGCUAGUAACAGAUCAAACAAUUCACUGGUCCCCAUAUCACUUAAGUAAGUAUGAAUAAUUACCAAUGAAAUUAUGGACAAAACUCAUUUCUUGAUUACUAGUCUAUAAAGGCAGGAUUCUUCAGUAUCUGUUUAGCAUAUUCCUGUAAUUUCAGACACAGGAAUAGCUUAAAGGAUAAUUAAAGAGACAAAAUUUGUUUCACAUUAAUAGCUAUUGCAGACUUUAUAAUACAAAAUAAUCUUGGCCCAUACCAUUUGUGUUAUCUCUAUUCUCAAGCCUUUCAGAUAGAUAAUAUAGUGGAAAGAACAUUGGCCUUGCAAUAAAAGGAUUUUAUUCAAAUCCCACUUCUUCCACUUACUAACUGUAUGAACCAAAUCAUUUCUCUGCUUGUUACCCAUUUCUUUAUUUGUAAAAAUGAAGGAAUUGUGUUAUAAUCAUUAAGAUUAUUUCCAAUUCUAAGGUCCUAUUUUAUAUAAAUGAAAUAGGAUAUCAGUUGCUUAGAACACAAGAGUUUUCCAGAACACAUACCAAAUAACAAAUCAAAACUGGAGACAUAUAGAGAAAGAUACCCACAAAUGUGGGCCCACAAAACCAUACUGCUCUGCCAUCAAAUAAAAUCAUUUGGUUCUCUUCUUCUCCCGCCCUUUAGGAUACUACAAUCUGACAAUACAGUAUAGCAUGCCAAUCUGUACCAAAAACAUCAACUUAAAGGUUUCGACUGUUCCUCCUUCUACUCUGCAGGCUACAUCACAGUAUAGGGAAGGAACCACAGAGAUCACCCCCGCCCCUGGUCUGCUCAGGACGCUAGCCUCUCGCUGCCUGUGCUAAUCUGUUCCUGGCCCCUCAGGAUAAACCUUUCCUGGCGAGCUUCCUGAU